UAAUCUGCCCUUUUUAGGGCAACCAAAUAUUUUAUUUCGAGAAAUAU
Non-coding RNA from Solenopsis invicta (red fire ant), 47 nucleotides. The record is from Rfam. NCBI's taxonomy places the organism in Eukaryota, Metazoa, Arthropoda, Insecta, Hymenoptera, Formicidae.